ACUCCCUGUGAUGGCCCUGAAACUUCCAGAAUGUAGAGAUGCAGAGCUGUAGGCUGUUGUCAAAGCUGUGAAUUUCAGUUUCCCCAUCAUCCGAGGCUUUGAUGGGCUGAGGAACCGGAGCCUCACAUUUGACAAAGCGUUUUAAAGCACCAUUUAUAUAUUGCGCUCUCUGCCCUUGGGGAACCCUGGCUCUGGAAGUCAAGAAGAGAGAAUGUGGAGGCGAAUUGUACAAAACGUUUGAGAGGAAAGCCACCUUCAGGAAAGUCAUAGCAGCAAGAACAGGAAGCAACUGGUCAUAUUGUGUCCAGUCUGGAAGCAGAGAGAGGGUCGAGAUCCGGGGGACAGUCUUCAGCCACUGAGCAGAUGAAGCUGGCACCUCUCCAGAGCAUUGCCCGUGGUCUCUGCAGAUAUACUAUGCAGUGGGCAUCAUGGGCUUCUAGGGCUGCAUCUGGUAAUCUUGAGCAAGUAAUAUAACUGAGUGCUGGUUAUCUGGGGCAGCCUUGGGUGUGGUGGGGAUCCUGACUAAGCUAUUUUUACAUGUCUAAAAGGCUCAUUACCUGGCCCUCUAACCCUAGAGUCCCAGAGUAAAGUUUCAGCUUUACAAUUUGAGUGGGUGGUCUGAUCUCACUGGAACUCCAGAAACUGUUAGUUCUGCCAGGUGAGAACAAGACCACUACUGCAAUUUCUAAGCCAAAUCUGAAACAAGGCUUAUUAAAUAUCAGCCAGGACGAUGGCCACUGGUCAGGUCUAGACCGAGGAUACCCAGAGUAUGUCCUGAACUACUUUAGUCAUAGGCUAAAGGCAAAACAAGACUAUUGACUUCCUGUCUCUGUCCAAUCAGGGUCAGCCAUGCAUCCUAACAUACUUCCUGCCUAUGGGUAAUCAAACGCAUCACGGGCAGUUGGGGCAGGCGAGCUUGUUUGUACUAGUGAAACAUAUGGCUUCACACCAACAGUAACCCCCAGCAUUGCCACAGUUCUCUGUCCUUGGGCAAGUGGGGCUUUCAGGUUGGAGGCAUUUGUGUUUUAUUGAUCUCUUAAGUACAAUAAUUCAAACCUAGAAAUAACUUUAGCCACCACAGGUUAUCUUCUGUCUUCCCAUGGGGCAAGGUGUCAGUCCCAUGCUUGCCUCAUCUUGGAUUUUUCCCUUUAAUUCCACUUGCAGCACCUGUAGCAAAGUAUGUUCUGCUUUGUUUUCAAAUUCCUUGUUAAUAUAAACAUUUGUUUAAAUAGCCCUGUCUCUUGGGUGGAUGGAUUCUCUAGGGUAGGAGAUCUCUAAAGCCCUUGCCCAGAGCCCACAUUCAAGGAUCCUUUGUUAGGAUUCUAGGACAACUCUGAAGAUACCUCAGAGUAAACAGGGAGAUUACCCAGUACAGAGAAGGUGGGAAGGUGUUCAUCUUUUAUCUUGCAAGUGAAGACAGAAGUAACUCCCAGGAUGAAUAGGUAAGAGACUUCCCAUAAAGUUACUUUUUUUUUUUUCCAAACUAAGGACAUAACCAUGACUUCACUGCUGAAUUGCCACCGUUGUAGACAGGUGGACCAGUUUGGAGCAUAAGGAAGAAAUGUUGGAGAAAGUGAACUUCAGUAAAAGAAGCUAGAGUCAGUCACCUCAGUCAGUGGCAGACCGACAAAGAAGAAGAGAGCUGAUUGGCCCACAGCUGUGGUAAAUGUAGCCAGAAUGGAUUUUGAACAUAUCUGAACAGCAGGGACCAGUCAGCCAGAAGAGGAUCCCUUCUGGUGGGUGUCAAAACCCACAAGACCUUUGUCUUUCAGGAAGGUGAGGAAGAAGCCAGAGGUUUGUCUCCUUUGUUAUCUGUGGUUCUUUUUCCUGUCAUCUGCUGGCCAGGGGUCUCCUCAGUAGUUAGUGUCUAAGGACUUCUGAAAUCCAAAUGACAGAGAAGCAGGCAGAAGUUGUAAGCCAGAGCUCUGCUCAGCAGAUGUAGCAUGACAUCUCUAGGUCAGGUUGGAGAGGAGAUCCUCAGCCUGACUAGCACAAGAAGAAAAGAUUUCACACUGACUGAGCCUCUUUCUUUUUUAAUAUUUAGAAACAAAAUGAUCACCUUUGCUGCCAGGCAGUGCAAAGACUAGUCCAGCCCACCUUUCUUGAAAACCCAUGAUCUGCUUUUCAGGGGGAGAUGAAAGUGCAGGCAUAGACAAUGGAUCUGAAAGCUGCUGGCUUUUGAAUAUUCAUGACUAUUCUAAUGCAAAUGAAUGUUUCCAAUUGAGCUGAGUUUGGCCAGGUGCUGUUGGAAGUGCUUUAAGUUUAUAAUGUUGCUUCUCUGUUCUUUAGAUCUCCUAGAACAACUUCUCUGAGAAGGUUUCCCAGGUGUCCCACCUUGGACUGUAGUUCCUGCCCCUAAAGUUCAAGGGCUCUGGAUCCCCCCAAUCCACAGGACAGCCUGCCCUUGUUUAAUUGGGGCCCAGGUCUGAGAGGCCCUCCUUUGGCCCAGAGCCAGAGAGCCUUAUCACUCACCAGAUUGUGCUUCAACCAAAGCUCACUGCUCCCAGAAUAACAGAGGGGAUGGUGGGGGGUCUGCCAAGGUUAGGAGCACUUGUUUCAGCCCUCUUUGACUCUUGCAACUGUAAAUGGCCUUGGCCUGUAGCCUGAUGCUUUGCUAGGUCCACAGACUAUGCAAGACACACAACCCUGUGAGCUGAUGGUGGUUGCCUUUGGAGGAACACAGUGAGUCUUCAGUCUCUGUGGGUGCUAAGGGAGGAUUUCCCUGUUCAACAGGAUUUGUUGUGAGGGUUUCUGAUCAAAUUCUAGGAGGGGGGAGGGGGAAGGGAAGGGAGACAAGGAAAGUCACUGUUCAGCCAAGGACCUGUUUGGAGGAGUACAGACGCUGGUCCUGACCCAGGUCAGUGAAGGAAGUUUCCACAACUUCCACCAUCUCCCAGGAGCUGGGUGGUCCUCAGGAUCCAUUGGAGUGAAAGAUGCCACUUCUAGGUUUAAAUUGGUCCAGGAUCCUUAUACCACCUAAGGACUCUUGCUGAAGUAUCUCAGGCAUGGCCUAUGAUUCCAUUCCUUGAUUAGUUCUUGAAAUCUAUUCUUACCUCCUAGGCUUUCCAGCAGAACUUUUCACCCUCAAAUACUCUAUGGAAAAGACACUCCUCUCUAUGCCCGAUACAUACUUAUUCAAUGAGAAUCUACCUAUGUUUUAAACAGGUGACUCUAAGAGGUACAGUAGUCUCUGGUCAAUGCGUCUUGGUCUGUCUAUUCAGACUACCCUCCACCCAUAGUCCCCCUCUGCACCGUCAUCACUAGGGCUGCCAUAGCCUUCUCUGGGGUAACCUCACCUCCAAUGCCCUCUCCUCUGGGUUCCAAAGCUGCCAAAGCUAUGUUCACCUGAAUUCAGCCUCCCCAGUUUUCUUCCACGACUACCUGCUGUUUAAUUUAUCCUGGCAUUGUUAACACCUGACUUUCCCUGUGAUGAGUUUUUAGCUGUGGACUAGUUUAUUCUUAAGAAACACAUUGAUUUUCGAGGGCUGGAGCUUCAUUGCAGUUACUUAAGUCCUUCUUCCAUGUUUCCUUUCCAGGACUUCAUAGUUGUGGCCGAGGCCUGAUGUCAGUCAGACAGGCUUUGAUGAGGAUGGUACCCUGGUUCUGGCAGCUACUCAAGGACUUGGGAGAAACCUGUUUGUACCCCAAGCUUCUGGUCAAAUUGAGUGGCCCUCACCUUGAAAUAGACCCUGAAUAUGGCAUAGAUGCCAGGAACCCAGCUCUGUAAACGUUUAUAUGCAGACAAAGUCUCUCCAUGUGCUUUUAAACCAAGGAAGUUUCUACUCAGAAACUUAGAAGGCUGUCAUGAGAGAUUGCCAAGCAAGGACAAUACACAAAGGGAAGCAAGCAGAUUUUACUGAGAAGAAACAUCUCCCUGUAGCCAGAGGGGAGACGUGAAGGUGAGUUACCUAUUCAAGUUACCUAUUUAGCACGCUGAAACGGUUUUUACAUCUUGGGAAUGUGCCAUUGUGGUCCCAUAUGUAAAUUAGGCAUCAAACUCAGAUGAGUCUGAUUGGCUUAUUUGAAUGCACGUGGCAAAGUCUGCUUUGCUGACAAGUCCUGUGAAAGUACAGAGCCUUGGAAAUCGAAAGCUGGAGGUCAGCUGACAUCUUGGAGGGUCAGGGUGUUUGGAUUUUAAUUCUUUGGCUCACCAACUGUGCUGGACAUUUUUAUGUCAACAGCAUAAGUUCCAGCGUUUUUAGAAGAAGAAACCUCAAUUGAGAAAAUGCCCCCAUCAUAUAUGUAGUCAAGCUUAUGCUACAUUUUCUUGAUUGAUGAUUGAUGUGGGAGGGUCCAAUUCUCCUGUUCAGUAUCACCCCUGGGCUGGUAGUCCUGGGUGCUAUAAGAAAGCAGGAAGAGUAACCCAUAAAGAACAGCUGGUAAGGAGCGCUCCUCCAUGGCGUCCGCUUCAGUUCCUGCCUGAGUUCCUGCCCUGACUCUCUGGAUGAUGGACUACAAGCUGUAGCUGAAAUAAAAC
Molecule: small RNA, 4477 nt
Filed under: Rattus norvegicus (Norway rat)
Lineage: Eukaryota; Metazoa; Chordata; Mammalia; Rodentia; Muridae
Description: uncharacterized LOC102554555
Source: RNAcentral